Molecule: ribosomal RNA, 403 nt
Filed under: uncultured bacterium
Lineage: Bacteria
Description: partial 16S ribosomal RNA
Rfam family: Bacterial small subunit ribosomal RNA
Source: RNAcentral
AUUGAACGCUGGCGGCAGGCCUAACACAUGCAAGUCGAGCGAGCGGCGGGCGGGUGAGUAAUGUAUGGGGACUGCCCGAUAGAGGGGGAUAUCUCCUGGAAACGGUAGCUCAUACCGCAUAUUACCGGAUAACCCAUAUGGGAUUAGCUAGUAGGUGAGGUAAUGGCUCACCUAGGCGACGAUCCCUAGCUGGUCUGAGAGGAUGAUCAGCCACACUGGGACUGAGACACGGCCCAGACUCCGACGGAGGCAGCAGUGGGGAAUAUUGCACAAUGGGCGCAAGCCUGAUGCAGCCAUGCCGCGUGUAUGAAGAAGGCCCUAGGGUUGUAAAGUACUUUCAGUCGGGAGGCGUUACCGACAGAAGAAGCACCGGCUAACUCCGUGCCAGCAGCCGCGGUAAUAC